This 462-nucleotide long non-coding RNA is filed under the name Brassica napus (rape). RNAcentral describes it as "long non-coding RNA (BNAP_LNC004673)". The record is from RNAcentral. Lineage: Eukaryota; Viridiplantae; Streptophyta; Magnoliopsida; Brassicales; Brassicaceae.
UGUGACAGAGGAAACCCUGCAAAGAAGUAACGACAAUGUGUCCUGUUUUUAGCUUCCAAGAAACAGAGAAACUGAGUCAUUGGUAGGUGUCAAUCAAUGACAAGUAAAAAAGCAGGAGCUGGAAGAAGAAGGGUAUUGAUGCAGAAUAUAUAAUCAUCAGUGAGAGAGGGAUCAAGUAAGAGGUCUACACAAUUCACAAAUACACAGAGAAAAGAAGAUAGAGAGAGGGUGAGAGAAAAGCUACGUGAGAGUGUGACUUGUUUUUUCAUAAAAGCUUGUUCAUCUUUGGUUUUCUUCUUUGGGUUAAAUCUCUGUAACGGUGAGUGACGUGAGCUUGGUAAGUGAUCUUUCUUGUUCUCUGCAUCAAGGAUAUUACCCUUGUGAGCUGGUGUAAGCUCACCGAGACGUACUGAGAUCACGUUGAUCUUGGGAACUCGUAUAUCCUGGUGUUCUUAAGUUUCU